RNAcentral lists this ribosomal RNA (1280 nucleotides) under Trigonocryptus conus. Its description in RNAcentral is "eukaryotic LSU rRNA". It matches the Rfam family "Eukaryotic large subunit ribosomal RNA", at positions 58 to 936 of the family's 3401-position model. Lineage: Eukaryota; Metazoa; Platyhelminthes; Trematoda; Plagiorchiida; Faustulidae. The record is from RNAcentral.
AAAGCAACUAACAAGAUUCCCUUAGUAACGGCGAGUGAACAGGGAUUAGCCCAGCACCGAAGCUUGUGACCGUUUGGUCAUUAAGCAAUGUGGUGUUAAGGUUGUUUCGCAAAGGCAAUGCCCUACCCUAAGUCCGGCAAUGAACACGGUAGUACGGACAUGGCCCAAAGAGGGUGAAAGGCCCGUGGGGGUAGAGGUUCAGAUAGCCAGUGCCUUUCUGGAAUAACCUUAGAGUCGGGUUGUUUGUGAAUGCAGCCCAAAGUGGGUGGUAAACUCCAUCCAAGGCUAAAUACAUACACGAGUCCGAUAGCAAACAAGUACCGUGAGGGAAAGUUGAAAAGUACUUUGAAGAGAGAGUAAACAGUGCGUGAAGCCGCUCAGAGUCUAAACGAAUGGAGUUGAACUGCGUACAUUGAGAAUUCAGCUGACGAGGAUGGUUUGUGUUUGGUCAAAUUGGUUAAAACUCGAAGACUGUUAAUGACAGGCUUUCGUCCUCGGGCGAAAGUGCGUGAUGCACUAAUUAUGUGUUGCGCGAUUCGAGUAUGUUGAGCCACCUUGUCAGUGCAUUUUCUCUUUGUGUUCACCAAGACUGGCAUUGUUGUCAUUGCAUUUCGGUUAAACCGUGCAUUUUUAGUCUUUGUGGCUUUAAAUGUGCGGGAUAGCAGGUAGCUCGUUGAUUUUACAAUUUUUGUGAGCAUAAUUGACGAGUGUUAUCAGCUGACUGUUUAUUGCUUUGUACAAUAUGUCAGAGACGGCGGCCAGUAAUGGGCGUAUGUAUUUGUUCAUUAACGGAGUCGGGUUUGGUUGUUAUGUUGCUUGUUCAAGCAAGCCUAGUAAUAACUCGACAUCGUUUAAUGGCAGGUUGCAAAUGCCGCAUUGUUUAAAGGGCCAAAAGUCAUUGGUGUAGUGGUAGACUUUCCAUUCGACCCGUCUUGAAACACGGACCAAGGAGAUUUACAUAUGCGCGAGUCAUUGGGCGUUACGAAACCCACAGGCGUAGUGAAAGUAAAAGUAUGGCUUGUUCAUACUGUGGUGAGAUCCUGCUCUUUCCCACGCAUGUACCACCGAAUUGGAAGAGUGGGCGCAUCACCAGCCCGUCCUAUGAUAAUUGCUUUUGCAUUUUUCUGUCGGGGCGGAGCAUGAGCGCAUAUGUUGAGACCCGAAAGAUGGUGAACUAUGCUUGCGCAGGUUGAAGCCAGAGGAAACUCUGGUGGAGGACCGUAGCGUUUCUGACGUGCAAAUCGAUCGCCAGACGUGAGUAUAGGGGCGAAAGACUAAUC